RNAcentral lists this ribosomal RNA (467 nucleotides) under uncultured bacterium. RNAcentral's name for it is "partial 16S ribosomal RNA". It matches the Rfam family "Bacterial small subunit ribosomal RNA", at positions 29 to 507 of the family's 1533-position model. The record is from RNAcentral.
UACGCACGCUGGCGGCGUGCUUAACACAUGCAAGUCGAACGGAAAGGCUCCAGCUUGCUGGAGUGCUCGAGUGGCGAACGGGUGAGUAACACGUGGGCAAUCUGCCCUGCACUCUGGGAUAAGCCUGGGAAACUGGGUCUAAUACCGGAUAGGACCUUUCUCCUCAUGGGGUUUGGUGGAAAGUUUUUCGGUGCAGGAUGAGCCCGCGGCCUAUCAGCUUGUUGGUGGGGUAAUGGCCUACCAAGGCGACGACGGGUAGCCGGCCUGAGAGGGUGAUCGGCCACAUUGGGACUGAGAUACGGCCCAGACUCCUACGGGAGGCAGCAGUGGGGAAUAUUGCACAAUGGGCGAAAGCCUGAUGCAGCGACGCCGCGUGAGGGAUGACGGCCUUCGGUUUGUAAACCUCUUUCAGUAGGGACGAAGCGCAAGUGACGGUACCUGCAGAAGAAGCACCGGCUAACUACGUG